GAUGAACGCUGGCGGCGUGCUUACCACAUGCAAGUCGAACGGAUUUUACAUGAAGCCUAGCGAUUGUAAAAUUAGUGGCGGACGGGUGAGUAACGCGUGGGUAACCUGCCAUAUGCUGGGGGACAACAGUUAGAAAUGACUGCUAAUACCGCAUAAGCGCACAGUAUCGCAUGAUACAGUGUGAAAAACUCCGGUGGUAUGAGAUGGACCCGCGUCUGAUUAGCUAGUUGGUGAGGUAACGGCUCACCAAGGCGACGAUCAGUAGCCGACCUGAGAGGGUGACCGGCCACAUUGGGACUGAGACACGGCCCAA
RNAcentral lists this ribosomal RNA (313 nucleotides) under uncultured bacterium. RNAcentral's name for it is "bacterial SSU rRNA". It matches the Rfam family "Bacterial small subunit ribosomal RNA", at positions 28 to 334 of the family's 1533-position model. The record is from RNAcentral.